CUUAACACAUGCAAGUCGAGGGGCAGCAUGGUCUUAGCUUGCUAAGGCCGAUGGCGACCGGCGCACGGGUGAGUAACACGUAUCCAACCUGCCGUCUACUCUUGGACAGCCUUCUGAAAGGAAGAUUGAUACAAGAUGGCAUCAUGAGUCCGCAUGUUCACAUGAUUAAAGGUAUUCCGGUAGACGAUGGGGAUGCGUUCCAUUAGAUAGUAGGCGGGGUAACGGCCCACCUAGUCUUCGAUGGAUAGGGGUUCUGAGAGGAAGGUCCCCCACAUUGGAACUGAGACACGGUCCAAACUCCUACGGGAGGCAGCAGUGAGGAAUAUUGGUCAAUGGGCGAGAGCCUGAACCAGCCAAGUAGCGUGAAGGAUGACUGCCCUAUGGGUUGUAAACUUCUUUUAUAAAGGAAUAAAGUCGGGUAUGCAUACCCGUUUGCAUGUACUUUAUGAAUAAGGAUCGGCUAACUCCGUGCCAGCAGCCGCGGUAAUACGGAGGAUCCGAGCGUUAUCCGGAUUUAUUGGGUUUAAAGGGAGCGUAGAUGGAUGUUUAAGUCAGUUGUGAAAGUUUGCGGCUCAACCGUAAAAUUGCAGUUGAUACUGGAUAUCUUGAGUGCAGUUGAGGCAGGCGGAAUUCGUGGUGUAGCGGUGAAAUGCUUAGAUAUCACGAAGAACUCCGAUUGCGAAGGCAGCCUGCUAAGCUGCAACUGACAUUGAGGCUCGAAAGUGUGGGUAUCAAACAGGAUUAGAUACCCUGGUAGUCCACACGGUAAACGAUGAAUACUCGCUGUUUGCGAUAUACGGCAAGCGGCCAAGCGAAAGCGUUAAGUAUUCCACCUGGGGAGUACGCCGGCAACGGUGAAACUCAAAGGAAUUGACGGGGGCCCGCACAAGCGGAGGAACAUGUGGUUUAAUUCGAUGAUACGCGAGGAACCUUACCCGGGCUUAAAUUGCAGAUGAAUUACGGUGAAAGCCGUAAGCCGCAAGACAUCUGUGAAGGUGCUGCAUGGUUGUCGUCAGCUCGUGCCGUGAGGUGUCGGCUUAAGUGCCAUAACGAGCGCAACCCUUGUUGUCAGUUACUAACAGGUUCCGCUGAGGACUCUGACAAGACUGCCAUCGUAAGAUGUGAGGAAGGUGGGGAUGACGUCAAAUCAGCACGGCCCUUACGUCCGGGGCUACACACGUGUUACAAUGGGGGGUACAGAGGGCCGCUACCACGCGAGUGGAUGCCAAUCCCAAAAACCUCUCUCAGUUCGGACUGGAGUCUGCAACCCGACUCCACGAAGCUGGAUUCGCUAGUAAUCGCGCAUCAGCCACGGCGCGGUGAAUACGUUCCCGGGCCUUGUACACACCGCCCGUCAAGCCAUGGGAGCCGGGGGUACCUGAAGUGCGUAACCGCGAGGAGCGCCCUAGGGUAAAACUGGUGACUGGGGCUAAGUCGU
Molecule: ribosomal RNA, 1438 nt
Filed under: uncultured organism
Description: SSU rRNA
Rfam family: Bacterial small subunit ribosomal RNA
Source: RNAcentral